This is a long non-coding RNA of Apis laboriosa (Himalayan honeybee), 313 nucleotides long. RefSeq lists it as uncharacterized. The transcript has 3 exons. The record is from RefSeq and is a predicted model, not a curated record. Lineage: Eukaryota; Metazoa; Arthropoda; Insecta; Hymenoptera; Apidae.
CUUUAAGGUUGUAAUUUUAAACGAAAACGUGCUUAAACAGUUUUACGAAUGUUCUUCUUCUUUCUCCUGUUUUUGCUAGCAGAAAAAGCUCAUUCUUGUUCAUCCAUUCAAGAUGCGAACUUCACGCGAAUAAUUAGCCAUUCGGAUAACAUCGGAUACGGAUGUUACACACAAUUAAUAAAAAUAAAAUAGAUAAUUACCGUGUAUCGUAAUCUGGCUCUAUGGUUUGAAUCUUGAUAUUUUAUGGAUCGAGUAAAAAAAACUAAUGAUAUGUCUCUGCAUAUUCGAAUGAAGAAAUAGAGAGAUCGUAAAA